RNAcentral lists this ribosomal RNA (87 nucleotides) under Streptococcus sp. Its description in RNAcentral is "partial 16S ribosomal RNA". It matches the Rfam family "Bacterial small subunit ribosomal RNA", at positions 1 to 84 of the family's 1533-position model. Lineage: Bacteria; Bacillati; Bacillota; Bacilli; Lactobacillales; Streptococcaceae. The record is from RNAcentral.
UUUAAUGAGAGUUUGAUCCUGGCUCAGGACGAACGCUGGCGGCGUGCCUAAUACAUGCAAGUAGAACGCUGAAGAGAGGAGCUUGCU